This 207-nucleotide ribosomal RNA is filed under the name uncultured bacterium. Its description in RNAcentral is "partial 16S ribosomal RNA". It matches the Rfam family "Bacterial small subunit ribosomal RNA", at positions 568 to 774 of the family's 1533-position model. The record is from RNAcentral.
CGUGUAGGCGGGACAGUCAGUCAUUUGUGAAAUCUCUCGGCUUAACCGGGAAUCUGCAAGUGAUACUACUGUCCUUGAGUUCGGAAGAGGGAAGUGGAAUUCCUGGUGUAGCGGUGAAAUGCGUAGAUAUCAGGAAGAACACCAGUAGCGAAGGCGGCUUCCUGGUCCGUUACUGACGCUGAGACGCGAAAGCGUGGGGAGCAAACA